UCUCAGACCAACGGUUCAGUUCAAAUUUGGUCCGAAUUUGAACCAAACUGCUAAAAUUGGUCUGUGCAUACCCAUACCACAGAAAGCUACUUUUAAAACUGAGGAGAUUUUCAAACAUCUGUAAUACAGUUUUAAGCUGUCUACAUUGUCACUUCAGCCCCGUUGUUCUUCCAUAUACCAAGGGGCCAAUUUUGCAGUGCGUUGGAGAGGAUGCUUAGGAGCAAUCGUGUCUACUGCCCUGCAUCGCAGCAGGAGAGGAACAGCAACAAUAAUGAAGAAAAGACACAAGACAUACACAAAAAAUACCUUUUUUAAACUUUGCUCCAGCACGUCAGCAUGGAAAUAGAAAUAAGCAUUUUAAUUACAAAAAUUUAAAGGCCCUCACUUCUUCCUGGUGAACUUCUGCAAAAUAGCAAAUAUAUACAUAUACACACACAUAGAAAUAACCAUUAUUGUGUCUUCUGGCAGCUUUUAAUUUAAUUUUAUUUUUCUGGUCCCCCAGAAAGUGAAAUAUGUUCUUUCUGUAUUUUUUAAAUCUUUCUUAAGAGUACAUCAGUAGUUCAGCAAGAAUGUAAAUCAAUUUUAAAGGCAAAUAUGUAUAUAAUACUCAUUUAGCUUUUCUGUAGAAGUAUAUUAGUACUCUAGCAGGGAGGUUGGAAAUGGUUAAAGUACUUUUAGAAUUGUUUGUUUUUAAAAAAUACACGUUCCCAUUUCUAGGGAAGCCAAAAUCCCUCAGAGUGUAUAUUUAUAAAUAUUCCUGUAUGUAUUUGAUUUUGCCUUUCUGCAAGAAAACUCAAAUAUGGACUUUUUAAAAAACCGCUAAAAUGUUUUUAAAGACAUUGGCCACCAUUGCAACUAACACUGAACACACUGAAAAAUGUUUUGUGCAUGCAACAGGGGAGGGGCAACAUUUGCCAGUCUCCCCUUUCCUUUUGGAGCUCAUAGUCCAACCUCAAAAUAUCUCCCUGAAGGUCCUGCAACUUGCAGAAAUGUAUUUGUGAAAGGCACAGUGGGCGGCAGAGGGAAAGAGAGAUCAGGAAAAAUUGCCCCUCCCCCCUUACACAUUCACAUUUUAGCAGCCACUUUUCCUUGUACAAACCAGAUUCAGAGGUAUAGCUAGGGGAGAGGGGGCCCGUGUUCACCCCUCCCCCUGACAGCCCCUUGGAAUGAGGGAGAUAAUGGAGAAAAUAGGGAGGGGUGGUACUGAGGGGCCCUCAGGAGCUGGUGGGGCCCGGGUUCUUUGAACCCAUCCGCUCAAUUAUAGCUACACCCCUGCCCAGAUUUAGCUAAAUGUAAUGACUUUUUGUUUCCUUCCUGUCUGAAACCAUUCAUCAUUAUCCAUCAAUCAACCUUAUUUCAGUCAGCGACGCGCGUCAUCCAAAUGCAGCAAGUUACAAUACAAUAAAAGCAUGCAAUCAUUA
Hemicordylus capensis (graceful crag lizard) is the source of this 1421-nucleotide long non-coding RNA. RefSeq lists it as uncharacterized. The record is from RefSeq and is a predicted model, not a curated record. NCBI's taxonomy places the organism in Eukaryota, Metazoa, Chordata, Lepidosauria, Squamata, Cordylidae. The transcript has 3 exons.